UACGUAGGGUGCUAGCGUUGUUCGGAAUCACUGGGCGUAAAGCGUGUGUAGGUGGCUGAUCAAGUUCGAUGUGAAAUCCUUUGGCUUAACCAGAGAACUGCAUUGAAAACUGAUUUGCUAGAGUUCGGGAGAGGAAAGUGGAAUUCCUGGUGUAGCGGUGAAAUGCGUAGAUAUCAGGAGGAAUACCGGAGGCGAAGGCGACUUUCUGGACCGACACUGACACUGAGACACGAAAGCGUGGGGAGCAAACAGG
This 253-nucleotide ribosomal RNA is filed under the name uncultured bacterium. Its description in RNAcentral is "partial 16S ribosomal RNA". It matches the Rfam family "Bacterial small subunit ribosomal RNA", at positions 524 to 776 of the family's 1533-position model. The record is from RNAcentral.